Molecule: ribosomal RNA, 492 nt
Filed under: uncultured bacterium
Lineage: Bacteria
Description: partial 16S ribosomal RNA
Rfam family: Bacterial small subunit ribosomal RNA
Source: RNAcentral
AGUGAACGCUGGCGGUAGGCCCAACACAUGCAAGUCGAACGGCAGCACAGUAAGAGCUUGCUCUUACGGGUGGCGAGUGGCGGACGGGUGAGGAAUACAUCGGAAUCUACUUUUUCGUGGGGGAUAACGUAGGGAAACUUACGCUAAUACCGCAUACGACCUACGGGUGAAAGCAGGGGAUCUUCGGACCUUGCGCGAUUGAAUGAGCCGAUGUCGGAUUAGCUAGUUGGCGGGGUAAAGGCCCACCAAGGCGACGAUCCGUAGCUGGUCUGAGAGGAUGAUCAGCCACACUGGAACUGAGACACGGUCCAGACUCCUAAGGGAGGCAGCAGUGGGGAAUAUUGGACAAUGGGCGCAAGCCUGAUCCAGCCAUACCGCGUGGGUGAAGAAGGCCUUCGGGUUGUAAAGCCCUUUUGUUGGGAAAGAAAAGCAGCAGGUUAAUACCCCGCUGUUCUGACGGUACCCAAAGAAUAAGCACCGGCUAACUUCGUG